Molecule: ribosomal RNA, 922 nt
Filed under: uncultured Bacteroidota bacterium
Lineage: Bacteria; Pseudomonadati; Bacteroidota
Description: bacterial SSU rRNA
Rfam family: Bacterial small subunit ribosomal RNA
Source: RNAcentral
GGAUCCAGACUUUGAUUCUGGCUCAGGAUGAACGCUAGCUACAGGCUUAACACAUGCAAGUCGAGGGGCAGCGGGAUUGAAGCUUGCUUCAAUUGCCGGCGACCGGCGCACGGGUGAGUAACGCGUAUCCAACCUUCCGUACACUCAGGGAUAGCCUUUCGAAAGAAAGAUUAAUACCUGAUAGUAUCUUAAGCACACAUGUAAUUAAGAUUAAAGAUUUAUCGGUGUACGAUGGGGAUGCGUUCCAUUAGGUAGUAGGCGGGGUAACGGCCCACCUAGCCAACGAUGGAUAGGGGUUCUGAGAGGAAGGUCCCCCACAUUGGAACUGAGACACGGUCCAAACUCCUACGGGAGGCAGCAGUGAGGAAUAUUGGUCAAUGGACGAGAGUCUGAACCAGCCAAGUAGCGUGAAGGAUGAAGGUCCUACGGAUUGUAAACUUCUUUUAUAAGGGAAUAAACCCUCCCACGUGUGGGAGCUUGUAUGUACCUUAUGAAUAAGCAUCGGCUAACUCCGUGCCAGCAGCCGCGGUAAUACGGAGGAUGCGAGCGUUAUCCGGAUUUAUUGGGUUUAAAGGGAGCGCAGACGGGUCGUUAAGUCAGCUGUGAAAGUUUGGGGCUCAACCUUAAAAUUGCAGUUGAUACUGGCGUCCUUGAGUGCGGUUGAGGUGUGCGGAAUUCGUGGUGUAGCGGUGAAAUGCUUAGAUAUCACGAAGAACUCCGAUUGCGAAGGCAGCACACUAAUCCGUAACUGACGUUCAUGCUCGAAAGUGUGGGUAUCAAACAGGAUUAGAUACCCUGGUAGUCCACACGGUAAACGAUGGAUACUCGCUGUUGGCGAUAUACUGUCAGCGGCUUAGCGAAAGCGUUAAGUAUCCCACCUGGGGAGUACGCCGGCAACGGUGCAACUCAAAGGAAUUGACGG